CCUACGGGAGGCAGCAGUGAGGAAUAUUGGUCAAUGGACGAGAGUCUGAACCAGCCAAGUAGCGUGAAGGAUGACUGCCCUAUGGGUUGUAAACUUCUUUUAUAAAGGAGUAAAACGAGGUACGUGUGCCUUUUUGCAUGUACUUUAUGAAUAAGGAUAGGCUAACUCCGUGCCAUCAGCCGCGGUAAUACGGAGGAUCCGAGCGUUCUCCGGAUUUAUUGGGUUUAAAGGGAGCGUAGAUGGGUUGUUAAGUCAGUUGUGAAAGUUUGCGGCUCAACCGUAAAAUUGCAAUUGAUACUGGCAGUCUUGAGUACAGUUGAGGUAGGCGGAAUUCGUGGUGUAGCGGUGAAAUGCUUAGAUAUCACGAAGAACCCCGAUUGCGAAGGCAGCUUACUAAACUGUGACUGACAUUGAUGCUCGAAAGUGUGGGUAUCAAACAGGAUUAGAUACCCGGGUAGUC
Molecule: ribosomal RNA, 460 nt
Filed under: uncultured bacterium
Lineage: Bacteria
Description: partial 16S ribosomal RNA
Rfam family: Bacterial small subunit ribosomal RNA
Source: RNAcentral